This 334-nucleotide long non-coding RNA is filed under the name Elaeis guineensis (African oil palm). RNAcentral describes it as "long non-coding RNA (EGUI_LNC013996)". Lineage: Eukaryota; Viridiplantae; Streptophyta; Magnoliopsida; Arecales; Arecaceae. The record is from RNAcentral.
ACUCUCCCGACUCACAGUCGGCCAAAUGAAUAUCUACCGAUUAUGGAUGACGAGCCAUCAAAACUAUAUCACAGAACAAGUACUAUCUCAAUUUCAAUGUCACUCAACUUUUCAUCGGUCUGAUAAGCGCAAACCACCGACUACCAGUCGAUAGGUCGACCAAAAAUUGAUUAUUCCCAACCUCCUCGAUAAACACCUCGACUACGAUGAUGCAAUUGACUUCAAACUGAUGACCAUCAGCAUAUCAGAGUAGCUGAUCGAUGGUCAUUCAGGCUUCUACAAUUAUCGACAUAUAGUCGACAUAUUCAGACUGCCGACAUAGAGUCGGUAUACC